This 495-nucleotide ribosomal RNA is filed under the name uncultured archaeon. RNAcentral's name for it is "bacterial SSU rRNA". It matches the Rfam family "Archaeal small subunit ribosomal RNA", at positions 857 to 1351 of the family's 1478-position model. The record is from RNAcentral.
UAAAGGAAUUGGCGGGGGAGCACCACAAGGGGUGGAGCCUGCGGUUUAAUUGGAGUCAACGCCGGGAACCUCACCGGGGGCGACAGCAGGAUGACGGCCAGGCUAACGGCCUUGCCCGACGCGCUGAGAGGAGGUGCAUGGCCGUCGCCAGCUCGUGCCGUGAGGCGUCCGGUUAAGUCCGGCAACGAGCGAGACCCCCGCCCCUAGUUGCGACCCGGGGCUCCGGCCUCGGGGCACACUAGGGGGACUGCCGCCGUAUAAGGCGGAGGAAGGAGGGGGCCACGGCAGGUCAGCAUGCCCCGAAUCCCCCGGGCUACACGCGGGCUACAAUGGCGGGGACAGCGGAAUCCGACCCCGAAAGGGGGAGGUAAUCCCUCAAACCCCGCCGCAGUUGGGAUCGAGGGCUGCAACUCGCCCUCGCGAACGUGGAAUCCCUAGUAACCGCGCGUCAUCAUCGCGCGGUGNAUACGUCCCUGCUCCUUGCACACACCGCCA